AUCACACCGGUCUCGUUCUUAAGGAGAUCCUCCACAGCUACAAGGGUUUCCAGCAGCUUAGCAGUUUGGUUGAUGUUGACGGUGGUCUUGGAAUCACACUCAACCUUAUCACUUCCAAAUAUCCCUCUAUUAAAGGAAUUAAUUUUGACUUACCUCAUGUUAUACAACAUGCUCCUGCCUACCCUGGUAACACUAUCUUUUCUUUAUAUUACUUGGUCAUAGGCAGUUUUAUGAUAGACGAUGGCUGAAAGGGUUUUUGGAGUUCUUUGAUUGCCAAAUGGCAUGUUUAUGCCUGAUUACAUAAUGAUAAUCAACAAAUACUUACAUAAUGAUAAUCAACAAAUACUAUGUAAUGACAGGUGUCCAACAUGUAGGGGGAGAUAUGUUUGAAAGUGUUCCUAAAGGAGAUAAAAUUUUUAUGAAGGUAAGAUAAUAUCAUUUGCGUUCAUUAGUUGCAGUUCUGAGUUACAAUAUUCAAUCAUCUCUCACCAGUAAUAGUUAAUUAUUAGGCUCUCUUUAAUUAUCGGAUGUUCGACUUUUAUUAUCAAAAGUUGUUCUUAGGGAUGUAAAUUAAUAUACCGUACAGUUGAUUUCAUAUAAUCAUAAUUCAAGAAUUGAAUAUUUUGAGAGAAGUUUUUAAAGUGUCAUUUAUUAAACAAUCGGUUGAACACUCAACAAUGGUAAGGUAUUGUCUUUGUGGUCGGGGUUUUGUCUCCCUCCACCAAGAGUUGUAUACAAUUUAUAAAGGGCAAGUGCUUUGGUUGAUAGAGAUGUGAGGCAAGACUCACUAAAGAGGUGUUAAUAUAGCGUGUGAUACAAUUAUGAAAGUUACCCGCACACUGGGGGAUUCGAACCUACAUUGUAACUCAAUUUUGUGGCCUAUAUGACUUAGGUACAUGGUUUGAGUUUCGUUGCAUGCAAGUGACUUCCAUAAUUAUUGUUAAAUGUUAUACUAAUAUCUUUCCCCUAAGCCUUACUGUUUGAUGGAUGACACUUUAAAGAUUUUUCUUGAAAGAAUCAACCCCUCAAUAAUGAAUAAAUUUAGAGUUAAAACCUCAACAUUUACAACAUUUUCCUUUAUUAUCAUAUUUUAUAUUUAGGCCUAUUUUAUGCACAACAAAUUAACUUGAAAAAUAAAUCAUAUAGUGGAUUCUUCAUGAUUGGAGCGACGAUCAUUGCUUGAAGCUAUUGAAGAAUUGUUACAAUGCCAUUCCAAAAGACGGAAAAGUAAUAGUGGUGGAGGCAGUGGUUCCGGUUGUACCGGAAGCUAAUGCCUAUUUGAGAAGCAUCACACAGCUUGAUGUGCUGAUGAUGGCGCAAAAUCCUGGAGGAAAGGAAAGAACCAAAUCGGAAUUUGAAGCGUUAGCUACUAAAGCCGGAUUCAGUGGCGUCAGAUAUGAGUGUUUUGCUUGUAACUACUGGAUCAUGGAGUUCUUCAAGUAAUUGGAUUUCAUAUCAUUGCUAAGCUACCAAUGCAACCGAAAGAAUAAAAGUGGAUGCUUGUAUUUCCUUUAUUGGAAUUAAAUUGGAUAUAAUGUUUAUUAUUUUUUAUUAAUUUUAUUCGUAACUAAAUACUUUCUUAAAUUAAUUAUUAUAUAAAUUGAUUUGAUUUUAGAUUUUGUACUUAGGGAUAUUUUUAUUCUCUCAAAUAUCAUUGAUAAUUUUAUAAUAGUUAAUAUUUUUUAGAAUUUACAGUUAUGUAUUUAUGUGAUUUUAAUUUAUACUACAUACAUGACAUAAAAAAUUAUAAUAUAAUUGCAUUCUAUCGAUCAAACAUGUCUAAAAAUUAAAUUUCUUUAUAAUUAUAAUAAGAUGUAAUUACCAUUCUAAUAAUUAUACUUUUAUCUAGUUAUUGUAUGCGGUCAAAAUGCACCCUUAACAUAAACUUUUACUUUGCUCAUUAUAAGGUCUGCCUCAUUGAUAGUGCAACCUCAUGCCGAUUGGAUUGUCAAGUUGUAACAUGUUUAUAGGGCAGAUUUCAUGGCGAAACUUUCACGAGAUAGCCGGCAAUAACUCUAUAGUUUCAAUACUCUACCUGCAGGGUGUGGUCUCGUGUGGAAUGGAUGCAGGAUCUACUUGGCUUAAAUAAUGUUAUUUAGCUAUUUUUCUGAUUUUAUUUAUUUACAGAGUAGCAUUUAUCCUUUUGUAUAACUCAUUUUUCCAAUUUUGUAUUAAUCAUAGAAAGGUUAAUAUUGAUAGGAAAUAAAUGGAAAACUGUAAUAAUCAAUAAGAACCAUCAUUUCAUUCAUUUAUAGGAACAGAGUCGAAGGUUGCUUUAUGCUAGUGUAAUAGGUUAGAGUUUUCACCAAUGGUUUUUGAAUUAAUGAUUUUUUAUUUUAUUUUAUUUUAUUUUUAAAUAACGUUUAUCAUGUGUUGUAGCAUUAUAUUAUUUGAUGCGAGUAUUUAAUGAGUAUUAAAUCAUAAAGAAAUUGAAAUAAAGUUGAUGAUUUGGUUCAAUUCUCUGCAUUAAAUGAAGUUACUAUUUCAUUAUUUAUUUGGUUAGGAAAAGGGCCCACAUUCCACUAAAAUUUCAAAUCUCUUUUUCGUGGGUUGGCAUCCAUUUAACAUUCAUUUCCAAAAUUUACCCUUUAUUUUAAAAGAAUCCAAGAUACAAUAAUGCAAAACAAGAAUCGUCCACCAUUCUUCACGCAUUUACUCCACAGUUAGAUGGCCUCUUCCACCUUCAUUUUUUUCUUUUUAAUAAUUGAUGGCAUAAUGACAUGAGCUAAAGGGGCAGUGUUUAUAUCAUGUUUCUCGAGGUGCUUGAAUCUGCCCCUCCGACUACAGUAAUUAUUUAGAGAAAUUGCUAUAAAAAGUGAGAUAUUUUCACCAGUUCAAUCAACUCGUCCCAACAUUUUCAAAUUUUUCAUUGACCGAGAGAUAUAGGGAUUGUUCUCCAAUGGCAACCCAAAUUGAUUGUAACAAUGAGGAAAGCUUCUCAUAUGCCCUCCAAAUCGUCACCUCUUCAGUACUGCCCAUGUCGAUGCAUGCGGCGGUUCAGCUGGACAUCUUCGGAAUCAUGGCGAAAUGCGGGCCAGAUGCUGAACUCUCCGCCAAGGAGAUCGCGGCACAGUUGGCUACCAACAACUCAGAGGCGGCCUCCAUGCUGGACCGAAUCCUUUUAUUGUUAGCCAGCCAUGGAAUCGUGGGCUGCUCCGUGGUGGAUGAGGAAAAGGGUAAUCCUCGUAAGCUGUACAGUUUGACGCCAGUCUCCAAAUUAUUUGUGCGGAAUGAAGAUGGGGUUUCCUUAGGCCCUUUGAUGGCAUUGCUUCAAGACAAGGUCUUCAUUGAUAGUUGGUGUGUUUCUUCUUCCCUCUCACUCUCUCUCUCUCUUAGUUACUUAUUUUAUUUCUUAGACUUGAUUGUUCUUAACCCAUCUUCACUUUUGAUAUAUAAAUUCUUAAAAGUUAUAGUCCACAGAUUUUAUCAGUUUGUAGAAUAAGGAAGACAUGAACAUUAUAAUUUAAAGAAAGUUCGAGGAUAUAUUUAUAUCACCCAAGUACGUAUCUUAAAUUCUUAAUAUAUGUCAAGUUAUUGGAUUUUUUAUAAAAAUAACCCAAAUAAUUUAAUUAAGUAUCAAAAUUAUUCAUUUUUUUAAUUAAACAUGAAAAUGACUCUAAAUUUACAGUAAAAGUUGGUGGAGCCAAAUUAUAUGACGCCACCAACUUGCCACGUCAGCAAGGAGCAUAAAAAAAUUAACUUUUUUGUGGAGCCAUGUAGAAUGGCGCCACCUGUAUAAAUAUCAGAGAAAUACAGAAAUUUCUAAAAAUAUGUGGAGAUUUCAAAAAAAUUAACUAUUUUCUGGUAGAGUCAAUUAAUAUGGCGCCACCAGAUUCUCCUACCAUGUCAGUUUUUUUUUUAUUUUUUUAUGUUUUAUGUUUUAUCUUUAUUUUAUUUUAUUUUAUUUAUUUAUUAUUAUUAACUUAAAAAAAUUUAAAAUAUAUAUGUGAAAUAUUUUAUUAAUAUAUAUUUUUUAUUUUUUAAUUUUUUUAAAUAUUAAAUAUUAUUUUUUAAUAAUAUAAAAUAUUUAAAUAUUUUAAACUUUUAAAUUUGUUAUUAGUUUUAUAAUAUUUUAAAUAUUAUUUAAUUUGUUUUAUAAUAUUUUAAAAUUUUUAUAUAUACUAUAGAAGUAUAAAUUAACAGUGUUUUUAAUGGUAAUUAUUUAUUAUUAUAGGUAAAACGAAAAAUAAUAUUAUAGUGGAUUUUUUUUCAAAGUAAAUGACAUACUUAUUUCUAGGGUUAAUGUGUAUUUUAAUCCCAAAUUUGAUAAUAUAUAUUUAAUUAUUAUUGGAAAACUAUUAAUUAAGUUGAUUUUUUUUAGGUACCUAAUUAAUCUUGUUAACUUUUGUACCGAUAACUAAUAAAAUAGUGACACAUGUAUUAAAAUUUUAAAAAUAUUUUGUAGUAUAAUUUUUAGAAUCUUUUGAUUUUUUUAAAUUUUAUGUGCAUAUAAACAAAUACCCAAAAAAAAUUUUGGAGGGCCAAAACUAAAUUAUAUAUAUUUAUAAGAAUUAAAAUGUAAUUUCACCAAUAUGUUAACUUAAAUAUUUAUAGGUUUUAGAAGAAUGGAAUCAAAAUUUAAUAUUUUUUAGAAUAAAUUAUAAUUUUUCCAUAUAUUAUUUAUAACUUUAUAAAUUCUAAAGGAUUUGGGGGAUAGUGCCUCUGGUAGCCCCCUUUUGCUGCCUCUGAACAAACAAAUGAUAUCCAUAUUUAGAUGAAUCUGGAAAUUAAUUUAAAAAAUAAAUUUAAUUUUUUAUAAUUAAAAAUAAUAAUAUGAAAAAGAAUUUAGAUACUAUUAUUUUAGGAUUUUUCUGUAUUUUAUGAUAUUUUAGAUUUUUUUCUUUAAUUUUUAGUUUUUAAAAAAUUAUAUAGAUUAAAUGAUUUUUAUUUUUAUUUUAAUUUUAAAACACGUUUGUCAUGUGUUGUAAUUAGAGGCGAGUAUUAAAUGAGUAUUAGAUACAAUAGUGCAAGUUGUACCCCUAAUAACUCAAUCAUGUAGAGCAAAACAAGAAUCAUCCACCAUUCUUCACGCAUUUACUCCACUUUUACAUAUCUCUUUCACGGACUUCCAUUGUACUUUUACAGUCACUAAUUCUAUUUAAUUUGUUUAUACAACUAGCUCUAUUUUUAUUAUAAUAAACUAGUUUUAUUUAAUUAAUCUCACUAUUAAAUAAUUUAUCUCUUCAUUUCGUAACGAAAAUUAAAAAAAAAAAAGACAUAGGAAAUUCUAUAUGCUCAUUUUCAAAACAAAGAGUUGCCCACUUCGCCCAACUAUUAACUCUGUUUCUCUAUCUUAUCAUCAAAUUCCUGCAUGAUAGGUCGCAACUGAAGGAUGCAAUUAUAGAAGGAGGAGUUCCAUUUGACAGGGUACAUGGAUCAAACACAUUUGAAUAUCCAGGCAAGGACCCAAGGUUCAAUCAAAUUUUCAAUACUGCAAUGAUCAAUCACACCAGUCUCGUUCUUAAGGAGAUCCUCCACAACUACAAGGGUUUCCAGCAGCUUAGCAGUUUGGUUGAUGUUGGCGGUGGUCUUGGAAUCACACUCAACCUUAUCACUUCCAAAUAUCCCUCUAUUAAAGGAAUUAAUUUUGACUUACCUCAUGUUAUACAACAUGCUCCUGCCUACCCUGGUAACUAUCUUUUCUUUAUACUACUUUGUCAUAGGCACUUUUAUGAUGGACAAUGGCUAGAAGGGUUUUUGGAGUUCUUUGAUUGCCAAAUGGCAUGUUUAUGCCUGAUUACAUAAUG
This 5747-nucleotide long non-coding RNA is filed under the name Gossypium barbadense (sea-island cotton). RNAcentral's name for it is "long non-coding RNA (GBAR_LNC008400)". Lineage: Eukaryota; Viridiplantae; Streptophyta; Magnoliopsida; Malvales; Malvaceae. The record is from RNAcentral.